GAUGAACGCUGGCGGCGUGCCUAAUACAUGCAAGUCGAGCGAACAGACGAGGAGCUUGCUCCUCUGACGUUAGCGGCGGACGGGUGAGUAACACGUGGAUAACCUACCUAUAAGACUGGGAUAACUUCGGGAAACCGGAGCUAAUACCGGAUAAUAUAUUGAACCGCAUGGUUCAAUAGUGAAAGACGGUUUUGCUGUCACUUAUAGAUGGAUCCGCGCCGCAUUAGCUAGUUGGUAAGGUAACGGCUUACCAAGGCGACGAUGCGUAGCCGACCUGAGAGGGUGAUCGGGCACACUGGAACUGAGACACGGUCCAGACUCCUACGGGAGGCAGCAGUAGGGAAUCUUCCGCAAUGGGCGAAAGCCUGACGGAGCAACGCCGCGUGAGUGAUGAAGGUCUUCGGAUCUUAAAACUCUGUUAUUAGGGAAGAACAAAUGUGUAAGUAACUAUGCACGUCUUGACGGUACCUAAUCAGAAAGCCACGGCUAACUACGUG
RNAcentral lists this ribosomal RNA (497 nucleotides) under uncultured bacterium. RNAcentral's name for it is "partial 16S ribosomal RNA". It matches the Rfam family "Bacterial small subunit ribosomal RNA", at positions 28 to 507 of the family's 1533-position model. The record is from RNAcentral.